This 443-nucleotide ribosomal RNA is filed under the name uncultured bacterium. Its description in RNAcentral is "partial 16S ribosomal RNA". It matches the Rfam family "Bacterial small subunit ribosomal RNA", at positions 338 to 795 of the family's 1533-position model. The record is from RNAcentral.
CCUACGGGUGGCAGCAGUGGGGAAUAUUGGGCAAUGGGCGCAAGCCUGACCCAGCAACGCCGCGUGAAGGAAGAAGGCUUUCGGGUUGUAAACUUCUUUUCUCAGGGACGAAGAAAGUGACGGUAACUGAGGAAUAAGCCACGGCUAACUACGUGCCAGCAGCCGCGGUAAUCCGUAGGUGGAAAGAGUUAUCGGGAUUUACUGGGUGUAAAGGGCGUGUAGGCGGGACGGCAAGUCAGAUGUGAAAACCACGGGCUCAACCUGUGGCCUGCAUUUGAAACUGUAGUUCUUGAGUACUGGGGUGGCCGACGGAAUUCCUAGUGUAGCGGUGAAAUGCGUAGAGAUUAGGAGGAACACCAGUGGCGAAGGCGGUCUGCUGGACAGCAACUGACGCUGAGGCGCGAAAGCGUGGGGAGCAAACAGGAUUAGAUACCCCAGUAGUC